Molecule: ribosomal RNA, 195 nt
Filed under: uncultured bacterium
Lineage: Bacteria
Description: partial 16S ribosomal RNA
Rfam family: Bacterial small subunit ribosomal RNA
Source: RNAcentral
CCUACGGGAGGCAGCAGUAGGGAAUCUUCCGCAAUGGGCGAAAGCCUGACGGAGCGAUGCCGCGUGAGUGAGGAAGGCCUUCGGGUCGUAAAACUCUGUUGUGAGGGAAGAACAGGUGAGGUCAUAACACGGCCUUACUUUGACGGUACCUCACGAGAAAGCCCCGGCUAACUACGUGCCAGCAGCCGCGGUAAU